CAGGGUACUAUGAGCAAGUGCAUGCAGCAUGCAUGUGUACAUAUUUGGGGUAUGUGUCUAGGGUCCCCUGGAACUUUAGAAGGGAGCCACAGAGGCUGUUUCAGGGGACACUGCAGCAAUUUCCAGGAACCAGCAACUGGAACCUUCCCUUCUAUGUCCCUCCACUCUCUCUCUGUUCCCUAGCUCUGAGCUGUGUUGCGGAGCCUGCAUCGGCUUUUACCACUGGGUGAUGACAGCAGUGACGGGAGGCGUGGGUGUGGCCGCAGCCCUGGCUCUCUGCAGCAUCCUCAUCUGGCCCAUUCGCAUUCGCACCCGGGACCCCAGAGACCGGCCCUGACUUCUGGCUCUCCAGGGUGACAUGGUGAAGGACCAAACAGACAUCCUGACCUCCGAUCCCCCAACCCGCUCGGGG
Molecule: long non-coding RNA, 412 nt
Filed under: Rattus norvegicus (Norway rat)
Lineage: Eukaryota; Metazoa; Chordata; Mammalia; Rodentia; Muridae
Description: long non-coding RNA NONRATT026436
Source: RNAcentral